UGUAAUGUUACAAUGGAAAAGAAAUAACAAUUUAUACUAAAUCCUAAAUUAAUGGAAAAACGUAAUUAAAAGAAUCCUAAAAAUAUUAAAGUUACUAAAACAAGAAGUUUAACAUAAAUAAAACUUUUGCGACAAAAGGAAAAAUCCGGUCUCGAAGUUGCAUGGUGCAAAUAUAUAUUUAACGAAAGCAGCCACCACUUUGUUAAUUUCUCAAUCAGCCACCUUAAUCUCUACUCUUUUCUCUCUGCAUGCAUGUGAGCUUAAUAAAUUCAGCAAGCCUCUAUUUUUUAAUUCAUAUCCAGCAGCCACCAGCUUUAAUUCCAUUGAUUGAAUUACAUUGUUCCAGCCGGUUUUGCAACAAGCUGAUCCGAGUUAUCUCGCCCCUCGAGCCCUCCAUAAAACUCGUUCCUUGGCAUGAUAAUUCCCACAUUUUGGACCCCAUGACUUGAUGAUGAUAUUGGCCAGCUUCAUCAACUUCAUUUGGCCUCCAAUUAAGCUCAAAAAUUGGUUUCGUUCUCUCGCCAACACGCAUCAAAUAUUUUAUAGUUCGUGGCAUAACCUAGAUCACAUCAACAGCAAUGGUGGUAUGACAUGGCAAAUCACAUGUUGCCUCGUUAUAGUGAGUAUUAUAACUCCUAUCCACAGAUCAAACUUGAAACUUUAGAACUAAUAUAAAUCAAAUAAGUGCAUAAUUUCUAAAAAAGUAAAGUUUCCACUCACCUAGUUAUAGACUGUAAACUACGUAGAAUGGUAUACAUCUUUAAUCUUCUCCUCACCUCAUCACAAACAAGUACCAUUCCUAUCAUUAGAUAUAAAAAAUAUUAUUAAUAACUUGAUACCCUUAAUUUCCAACCUCACAAUCCCAAUUAAUGUCACUGACAACAUGCAAAUCCUUUACAAGAGUUACUUUGGCAUCUAAUCCCAACAUUUGACAUUUAUUUUGGUUUCCAUAAAAAAAAUAAAAAUAAAAAUAAAAAUCCAAGAAAAUCAGAUGAUUAUCAAUACUAGCACUACGUUUCCAGAAUACAGACAUCUAUCACCAGUUUCUAUAUAUUGAAAAUUGUCAUCAAAACUAUUGACAAAAACGGCACUUUCUGGACAAAAUUUCAAAAGUAUCACUAGUGUAUGAAUUUGCACGAAAAUUAGUUAAAAAUACCAAAAUCAAACCUCGUAUCUUUAUCUCACUCUAAUACGUCAUAAAUCAUCUGUUUGAAUUUAUAUACACAGUAGUUUAACACCAAUCUAGCUUCUCAAAAACAUUUUCCUUUGUAAUAAUAAUACCUCAAAUACUAGAACUGAUCUCUUAAGCCGGCACUCGAGUGACAUGAUACACUACAAUAGGUGAUUGGAGAUAAUGGUAGGUUGUAAAAUUGAAUGCACCACUUAUUAUAAUGUGGCACGUGGCCUUAGCACUGAUGUUUAUAAAAUCAAUUCCGCCUCAAAAACAUCUUAAUAACUUUUAAUUCUUGCUAAAAAUUCAAAUAUAAGUGAUUGUAAUGAAACCAAAAUUUGUCAAUAAGCCCCCGUUUGUCUCCAUUAAUAAUCAUUAAUCAGCUUGUUUGCUAAAAUCUUACACCGCAAGUGCACGGGUCGCGUUCAAGUAAUAAAG
RNAcentral lists this long non-coding RNA (1609 nucleotides) under Olea europaea subsp. europaea. The record is from RNAcentral. Lineage: Eukaryota; Viridiplantae; Streptophyta; Magnoliopsida; Lamiales; Oleaceae.